GCUGACACAUCCCGGCCAAUCUCCAGCAGACCCUCCCUCCCAGACCCUCCUACUUCUUGGACAGCAUCCAUGUUUCAACCAUUUUGCUGUCCAGGAAGUAGGAGGGUCUGGGAGGGAGGGUCUGCUGGAGAUUGGCCGGGAUGUGCCAG
Molecule: microRNA precursor, 149 nt
Filed under: Pelobates cultripes (western spadefoot toad)
Lineage: Eukaryota; Metazoa; Chordata; Amphibia; Anura; Pelobatidae
Source: RNAcentral